GUACACAGAAGUAGUAAUUGAGGUAGUGGAGCCAAAUUCAAUUCAUAACCAAACUGACAGAAUGUUUUUAGAUACUGCAGUAUAAUAGUGUGAUGAUAAAAUGCCAGAACUGUGUCUGUUUGUUGCCACUUUGGAGAUAAAAGAGAACUAUAUCACUAAUAGUCAGGUAUUGCAUAGACAAUUAGCAAUAUAAGAUCUGUGUAAGGUUUUCCUCUCUCAAUUCUUUUUAAUGUUGCCUGUCACUAAACCUUAUGUUGUCCAAGACACAUUUAACAAAUUUUCCUCAGAUCUAUUGCUGCUUGGAUUCCUCUGAAGUUUUUAUUAAGCUUUACUGAUAACUUCUGUCAAACCAGAUCAACUUUUUUUUUUAG
RNAcentral lists this unclassified non-coding RNA (371 nucleotides) under Gallus gallus (chicken). Lineage: Eukaryota; Metazoa; Chordata; Aves; Galliformes; Phasianidae. The record is from RNAcentral.